Molecule: ribosomal RNA, 465 nt
Filed under: uncultured bacterium
Lineage: Bacteria
Description: partial 16S ribosomal RNA
Rfam family: Bacterial small subunit ribosomal RNA
Source: RNAcentral
GCGGCGUGCUUCAUACAUGCAAGUCGAACGAGAAGCAGGAGCUUGCUCCUGUGGAAAGUGGCGGACGGGUGAGUAACACGUAGGAAAUCUGCCUUUGGGCGGGGGACAACAGUUGGAAACGACUGCUAAUACCCCAUAUGAGCUUGGUUGCAAUACCAAUCUUGAAAACUCCGGUGCCUAAAGAUGAGCCUGCGUCUGAUUAGCUUGUUGGCGGGGUAAUGGCCCACCAAGGCGACGAUCAGUAGCUGGUUUGAGAGGAUGAUCAGCCAGAAUGGGACUGAGACACGGCCCAUACUCCUACGGGAGGCAGCAGUAGGGAAUUUUGCGCAAUGGGGGAAACCCUGUCGCAGCAACGCCGCGUGAAUGACGAAGCCCUUCGGGGUGUAAAGUUCUGUCAGUAGGGAAGAAUUUUGACUGUACCUACAAAGGAAGCACCGGCUAACUCCGUGCCAGCAGCCGCCGUAA